GAGAAGGAAGGACGCUUUCAGAAGCGAAAGGCCAUGGGGGGAGAUUUUUCUGUGAUCCAUGGAUCUCCGAUCGGGAAACCGUAUCCAAGCUCCAUGGCUAGUCUGCGCUCUUUGGACUUUUCAAACUUAGCAAACUGAAACAUCUGAGUAGCUAAAGGAAGGAAAAUCAACCGAGACCCCGUUAGUAGCGGCGAGCGAGAGUGGAACAAG
Molecule: non-coding RNA, 210 nt
Filed under: Triticum aestivum (bread wheat)
Lineage: Eukaryota; Viridiplantae; Streptophyta; Magnoliopsida; Poales; Poaceae
Description: Bacterial large subunit ribosomal RNA
Rfam family: Bacterial large subunit ribosomal RNA
Source: Rfam by way of RNAcentral